UACGUAGGCAGCGAGCGUUGUUCGGAGUUACUGGGCGUAAAGCGUGCGUAGGCGGUGGCCCAAGUCUGGUGUGAAAUCUCCCGGCUCAACCGGGAGGGUGCGCCGGAAACUGGGUCGCUCGAGUACUGGAGAGGCAAGCGGAAUUCCUGGUGUAGCGGUGAAAUGCGUAGAUAUCGAGAGGAACACCUGCGGCGAAGGCGGGUUGCUGGGCUGACACUGACGCUGAGGCGCGAAAGCUAGGGGAGCGAACGGG
This 253-nucleotide ribosomal RNA is filed under the name uncultured bacterium. RNAcentral's name for it is "partial 16S ribosomal RNA". It matches the Rfam family "Bacterial small subunit ribosomal RNA", at positions 524 to 776 of the family's 1533-position model. The record is from RNAcentral.